Molecule: ribosomal RNA, 896 nt
Filed under: uncultured bacterium
Lineage: Bacteria
Description: SSU rRNA
Rfam family: Bacterial small subunit ribosomal RNA
Source: RNAcentral
UACGUAGGGAGCGAGUGUUGUCCGGAUUUAUUGUCUGCAAUGAGUUCGUAUUCCACUCACCUGGUCGCUCGUGAAAGAUCAGGGUUCAACCCUGAAAUGUCUAUCGAUACUGAUGUGACUAUCAUACGUUUAGAGGUGAGUGGAAUUCCGAGUGGAACGAUGAGAUGCGUACAUAUUCGUGAGAAACACCAAUUGCUAAGGCAGCUCACUGGCUUCGCUAUCGAUUCUGAGGAGCGAACGCUUAUGGGAGCAAACAUGAUUACAUACCCUCGAUAGACCUAGCUGUAAACGAUGUAUACUACACGUACGAACUGUAUUGACGGUUUCUGUGUCGUAGCUAAGGCGUUAAUGAUCCCGACUGUCCAGUACGGUCGUCAAGACUACUGAUCAUGGGAAUUGAUGUCACCCCGCACAAGCGGUCGUACCAUGUGGUUUAAUUCGAUGAUACCCGUAGAACCUUACCUGGACUUGACAUAUAUUCCUCUAGAUAUAUAGAUAUAGUGUGCAUUAGCGCCCGUAUAGCAGUGUGGUGACAGUGGCGUGUCUGUCAGCCUCGCUGUGCGUGAUGAUGUUUGGCGUUAAGGUCUCCGUCAACCGAUGCGUCAUACGCGCUGAUCGCUUAUGCUUGCCGAGUCAUUUACCUUGGGGAGCUCAUAGGAGACUCCCUGGUGAUAAACCGGAGGAAGGUGGGGCAGGCGUCAAGUCAUCAUGCGCUUUUUGUCCAGGGUUGCACGCAUGCUUCAACGGCAAGUACUACGAGUCGCAAUCCCGCGAGGUGGAGCAAAUCUUUUAAAGCUUGUUUCAGGUCGGAUAGGAGUGUGCACCUCGUCUCCUUGAAGUUGGAGUCGCUAGUAAUCGCAAAUCAGCAAAGUUGCGGUGAAUACGUUCUCGGGGUU